RNAcentral lists this ribosomal RNA (382 nucleotides) under Shigella sonnei. Its description in RNAcentral is "bacterial SSU rRNA". It matches the Rfam family "Bacterial small subunit ribosomal RNA", at positions 362 to 736 of the family's 1533-position model. Lineage: Bacteria; Pseudomonadati; Pseudomonadota; Gammaproteobacteria; Enterobacterales; Enterobacteriaceae. The record is from RNAcentral.
UAUUGCACAAUGGGCGCAAGCCUGAUGCAGCCAUGCCGCGUGUAUGAAGAAGGCCUUCGGGUUGUAAAGUACUUUCAGCGGGGAGGAAGGGAGUAAAGUUAAUACCUUUGCUCAUUGACGUUACCCGCAGAAGAAGCACCGGCUAACUCCGUGCCAGCAGCCGCGGUAAUACGGAGGGUGCAAGCGUUAAUCGGAAUUACUGGGCGUAAAGCGCACGCAGGCGGUUUGUUAAGUCAGAUGUGAAAUCCCCGGGCUCAACCUGGGAACUGCAUCUGAUACUGGCAAGCUUGAGUCUCGUAGAGGGGGGUAGAAUUCCAGGUGUAGCGGUGAAAUGCGUAGAGAUCUGGAGGAAUACCGGUGGCGAAGGCGGCCCCCUGGACGA